UACGUAGGGGGCAAGCGUUAUCCGGAUUUACUGGGUGUAAAGGGAGCGUAGACGGUUAUGCAAGUCAGAAGUGAAAGCCCAAAGCUCAACUUCGGGACUGCUUUUGAAACUGUGUAACUAGAGUGCAGGAGGGGUAAGCGGAAUUCCUAGUGUAGCGGUGAAAUGCAUAGAUAUUAGGAGGAACACCGGCGGCGAAGGCGGCUUACUGGACUGUAACUGACGUUGAGGCUCGAAAGCGUGGGGAGCAAACAGG
This 253-nucleotide ribosomal RNA is filed under the name uncultured bacterium. RNAcentral describes it as "partial 16S ribosomal RNA". It matches the Rfam family "Bacterial small subunit ribosomal RNA", at positions 524 to 776 of the family's 1533-position model. The record is from RNAcentral.